This 421-nucleotide ribosomal RNA is filed under the name uncultured bacterium. Its description in RNAcentral is "bacterial SSU rRNA". It matches the Rfam family "Bacterial small subunit ribosomal RNA", at positions 355 to 774 of the family's 1533-position model. The record is from RNAcentral.
UAAGGAAUAUUGGUCAAUGGACGCAAGUCUGAACCAGCCAUGCCGCGUGAAGGAUGAAGGUCCUCUGGAUUGUAAACUUCUUUUAUCUGGGACGAAAACGGGAUUUUUAUCUCAAUUGACGGUACCAGAGGAAUAAGCACCGGCUAACUCCGUGCCAGCAGCCGCGGUAAUACGGAGGGUGCGAGCGUUAUCCGGAUUUACUGGGUUUAAAGGGUGCGUAGGUGGGCUUAUAAGUCAGUGGUGAAAUCUCCGAGCUUAACUUGGAAACUGCCGUCGAUACUAUAGGUCUUGAAUUAUCUGGAGGUAAGCGGAAUAUGUCAUGUAGCGGUGAAAUGCUUAGAUAUGACAUAGAACACCAAUUGCGAAGGCAGCUUACUACAUAUAAAUUGACGCUGAGGCACGAAAGCGUGGGGAUCAAACA